RNAcentral lists this ribosomal RNA (464 nucleotides) under uncultured bacterium. Its description in RNAcentral is "partial 16S ribosomal RNA". It matches the Rfam family "Bacterial small subunit ribosomal RNA", at positions 29 to 507 of the family's 1533-position model. The record is from RNAcentral.
AUGAACGCUGGCGGCGUGCUUAACACAUGCAAGUCGCACUGAAAGGCUCCUGCUUGCCGGGGUACUCGAGUGGCGAACGGGUGAGUAACACGUGGGUGAUCUGCCCUGCACUUCGGGAUAAGCCUGGGAAACUGGGUCUACUACCGGCUAGGACGAUGGUUUGGAUGCCAUUUUGGAACGUUUUUCGGUGUGGGAUGAGCUCGCGGCCUAUCAGCUUGUUGGUGGGGUAAUGGCCUACCAAGGCGUCGACGGGUAGCCGGCCUGAGAGGGUGUACGGCCACAUUGGGGCUGAGAUACGGCCCAGACUCCUACGGGAGGCAGCAGGGGGGAAUAUUGCACAAUGGGCGCAAGCCUGAUGCAGCGACGCCGCGUGGGGGAUGACGGCCUUCGGGUUGUAAACUACUUUCGCUAGGGACGAAGAGCAAGUGACGGUACCUGGAGAAGAAGCACCGGCUAACUACGUG